CGCAGAGCACACUCGGCGCCAAGCGCCCGCCGCGUGAGCACUGGCCAGCAGCCGAGCCGGCACCAUGCACGAGCUGCACGUGCACGACGUGCUGGGGAGGAAGGCGGCCGGCCACGAGCUGACCGCCAAGGAGAUCGAGCUCUUCGUGGAGCGAGUCUCCCGAGAGGAGAUCGACCGACUGCAGCUAGGCGCUCUGCUGAUGGCCAUCUACACCCGCGGCAUGGUGCAGCGCGAGGUGACCCAGCUGACGGCGGCCAUGACCCGGUCGGGCGAAGUGCUCCGCUGGCCCGACGACUGGACCGUGGUCGACAAACACAGCACCGGUGGCGUCGGCGACAAGGUGUCGCUGCCGCUGGCGCCGGCGCUGGCCGCGCUCGGCUUCAAAGUGCCCAUGGUGUCCGGCCGCGGCCUGGGCCACACCGGCGGAACGCUCGACAAACUGGAGGCCAUUCCAGGGUUCAGCGUCAGUCAGACGGCCGGUCAGAUGCGCGCCUGUCUGGAGCGCGUCGGCUGCUGUAUCGUCGGCCAGACCCAGACGCUGGUGCCGGCCGACCGGGUGCUCUACGCCAGCCGCGAUGUGACUCACACCGUCGACUCGGCACCGCUCAUCUGCUCGUCCAUCGUUAGCAAGAAGGCCGCCGAGGGUCUGCAGGCGCUCGUGCUGGACGUCAAGUACGGCGCCGGGGCGUUCCAGCGGGACGCCAGGCACGCCGCCGAGAUCGCCAGGAUGCUGGUGGACACAGCGAACGGGAUGGGGAUCAGCACGGCGGCGCUCAUCACUAGCAUGGAGUCGCCCAUCGGCCAGACGGUCGGCAACGCGCUGGAGGUGGCCGAGGCGGUGCGCUGCCUGCGCGGCCGCGGCGCCGCCGACCUGCGCGAGCUGGUCACGGCGCUGGGCGGCCAGCUGGUGCAGCUGGCCGGCCGCGGCUCGGCCCAGCACGGCGCCCAGCUGGUGGCGCGCGCGCUGGCCGACGGCUCGGCGCUGGACAAGUUCCGACAGAUGCUGGUGUGCCAGGGUGUCAGCGAGCCGGACGCGCACCAGCUCUGUCACGGAGACGAGUGGACGGUGCUGCCGCGCGCGCCGGCCAUCGAGGACGUGUGUGCCACGGACGCAGGCUUCGUGCACGCCGUGGACGCGCUGGCGGUGGCCCGCGUGUGUGCCGCGUUGGGAGCCGGCAGAAAGCAGGCCGGCGACUCCGUGGACCACAGGGUCGGCAUCACGUUUCUGGUCCGCCUCGGAGACAUGCUCGAAAUCGGACAGCCGUGGGCGCAGAUCCACCACUGUGGCACUCUGACGGACGCCGGCCGGCUGCAGGUGCGCCAGGCGCUCCGUCUGACCGCCCAGCGGCCCAGCCCGGCCCCGCGCGUCACCGGGCUCGUGCAGAGACAGUGAUCGGGCCGACGGGCGCACAGAGGGGCCGCACCAGCUGCCGGCGUGGCGCUGGGCGACCCCAUCAGCCGGAGACCAGCGAGGCAGAGCCGGCACGGGAUCCGUCGACCGGACCGGGUCGGGGGACACUGAGGACAGUAGGGCACCGAGACGCCGCCCUGACCUGGCCAGUAGUGUAUGCAGUGCACCGAGGCGCCGCCCUGACCUGGCCAGCAGUGUAUGCAGUGCACUGAGGCGCCGCCCUGACCUGGCAAGCAGUGUAUGCAGUGCACUGAGGUGCCGCCCUGACCUGGACAGUCCGGCCAGGAUGUGGUCUGUACAGUAGUGUGCGACCUCACUGCUCAAAGUUUAAAAACAAAGCAAGAAAUUCGCUGAGAAAAUGAUUGUGAAAACUGGCUAGCACACAUGGUACUGAAGAGAUUGAAGCCAUUUUCAAAGUUG
RNAcentral lists this unclassified non-coding RNA (1831 nucleotides) under Amphibalanus amphitrite. Its description in RNAcentral is "thymidine phosphorylase-like, transcript variant X1". Lineage: Eukaryota; Metazoa; Arthropoda; Thecostraca; Balanomorpha; Balanidae. The record is from RNAcentral.